UAAUAUGCAUUUUAGAUAGAGAGAUUGCAGUUGCAAAGAAAGUUCAUACUACAUAGACUGGUGGAUAUUGCACAACUUUGAUAUGACAAUAAGAAAACUGAUGCAUCCCAUGAUCAAGAUGGUCACUAAAAACAUGCAGAAUUAAAUGAGUUGUUCAGCCUUUAAGUGGGUUUUCCAAUUUAUUUUUUUAACUCCUGACCUAACCUCUGGAUAGGUCCUCAGUAUCUGAUCAGUGGGGAACUGCCCAUCAGCUGUUUAAUACCACUAGAGCUCACAGUAGUGGCUUCAACUAGGCCAUAUGUUGUCAUGUUCAUGGGUCACAUGGCCUAGGCGCCUUCUCAAACAUCUGACUGGCAGGAGUCCUGGCUUGAGACCUUCAAAGUGAUGGCCUAUCCUAGGGAUUUGUCAUCACUAGCUGAUCUGCAGUCGCUGGAAGUUAGCGCCGGAGCACUGUCAACAUUGUAGUGGACAGUGCUCGUAACUGUAGUGUUGCUCCUAUUCACUUAAAUGGGAGCAGUGCUGCAGUGACAGUGCUGAUAUCUAGCAAUGAAUCAUAUUGAAACCA
Molecule: long non-coding RNA, 565 nt
Organism: Bufo bufo (common toad)
Lineage: Eukaryota; Metazoa; Chordata; Amphibia; Anura; Bufonidae
Exons: 4
Source: RefSeq, a predicted model, not a curated record